GGUUAAGUGACUAAGCGUACAGGGCGGAUGCCUUGGCAAUCAGAGGCGAUGAAGGACGUGCUAAUCUGCGAAAAGCUUGGAUGAGUCGAUAAGAGGCGUUUAAUCCAAGAUAUCCGAAUGGGGAAACCCAGUAGAUGAAGAAUCUACUAUCAAUAAAUGAAUACAUAGUUUAUUGAGGCGAACCGGGAGAACUGAAACAUCUAAGUACCCCGAGGAAAAGAAAUCAACCGAGAUUCUGUGAGUAGCGGCGAGCGAAAGCGGAAGAGCCAGUAAGUUUUAGCUAGCAUAUUAGAGGAAUUGGCUGGGAAGCCAAAUCAAAGAGGGUGAUAAUCCCGUACUCGAAAGUAUGUUAGUGGAACUAAGCUUACGAUAAGUAAGGCGGGACACGAGAAAUCCUGUUUGAAGAUGGGGGGACCAUCCUCCAAGGCUAAAUACUCCUGAUUGACCGAUAGUGAACCAGUACUGUGAAGGAAAGGCGAAAAGAACCCCGGUGAGGGGAGUGAAAUAGAACCUGAAACCCUGUACGUACAAGCAGUAGGAGCGAGGGCAACCUUGUGACUGCGUACCUUUUGUAUAAUGGG
Molecule: ribosomal RNA, 581 nt
Filed under: Pasteurella multocida
Lineage: Bacteria; Pseudomonadati; Pseudomonadota; Gammaproteobacteria; Pasteurellales; Pasteurellaceae
Description: partial 23S ribosomal RNA
Rfam family: Bacterial large subunit ribosomal RNA
Source: RNAcentral